Molecule: ribosomal RNA, 522 nt
Filed under: uncultured bacterium
Lineage: Bacteria
Description: bacterial SSU rRNA
Rfam family: Archaeal small subunit ribosomal RNA
Source: RNAcentral
AACCUCCGCAAUGUGAGAAAUCGCGACGGGGGGAUCCCAAGUGCCAUUCUUAACGGGAUGGCUUUUCAUUAGUGUAAAGAGCUUUUGGAAUAAGGGCUGGGCAAGACCGGUGCCAGCCGCCGCGGUAACACCGGCAGCUCUAGUGGUAGCAGUUUUUAUUGGGCCUAAAGCGUCCGUAGCCGGUUUAAUAAGUCUCUGGUGAAAUCCUGUAGCUUAACUGUGGGAAUUGCUGGAGAUACUAUUAGACUUGAGACCGGGAGAGGUUAGAGGUACUCCCAGGGUAGAGGUGAAAUUCUGUAAUCCUGGGAGGACCGCCUGUUGCGAAGGCGUCUAACUGGAACGGUUCUGACGGUGAGGGACGAAAGUUAGGGGCGCGAAACCGGAUUAGAUACCCGGGUAGUCCUAACUGUAAACGAUGCGGACUUGGUGUUGGGGUGGCUUUGAGCUGCUCCAGUGCCGAAGGGAAGCUGUUAAGUCCGCCGCCUGGGAAGUACGGUCGCAAGACUAGAAAUUAAAGGAAGU